Molecule: long non-coding RNA, 751 nt
Organism: Pocillopora damicornis (cauliflower coral)
Lineage: Eukaryota; Metazoa; Cnidaria; Anthozoa; Scleractinia; Pocilloporidae
Source: RefSeq, a predicted model, not a curated record
GGAAAACCCUGAGGAACUCAGAGUGGAGUUCGAACGAUGUUCUCCACUUUUGGAAGUUAAGUUUCGUCCAAAUCAUCCUCCUCCUGUAAGGGAACCGCAGAAUCCGCUCAGUGAUUCUAAGCGUUUUUCUUCGACAAGGUUUUAAAACAUGCAAAAGCGGCCUAUGAUUGAGCUAACAAUAUGUGAUAGAUUCUCGAUUUUGUGAGAGAGAUCCUUCCACUUACAUUCUCAGUAUUGAAUAAUAAUUCCUUCUUUCUAUAUUCUCAAUACUGAAUACUCUAUGCUUUUCCAUUUGUUGGCAGAUUACUUUCCAUAUUGCGAACGAUUGUGAAGAUUGAAAGCACAAAUUUCAACUGUUCAAGUAGCGUCAAAUGUCUCUCUCUUUUUUAAAUCGGAUGCAGAAUCCUAGUGCUAAUCUGUUUGCGUUAGUUUGCUAAAGAAACAAUCCAGAACCUAAGGAUAGCCAAGAGUUAGCGAUGUUAGUGAUACACAAGACAGCAAAGAAUAAGGUGCUAUCAGAUAAUUGAUAAUUAAAUUUCUAGUGUUAGAAAUGGUAAUUUUGAAAUAACAGAAUUUUUUUAGCAAGAUAUAAAUAUUGUAAAGUAGCUACAAGUAGAAUCAAAUAAAACUGAUCACUUGUUAAUCUUUGUAAUUAGUGCUAAAGUACAAGUGAACCAUAAGCAACUAAGCUGCAAUUAAAAGUGGUGUUUGUGGAUUUUCUAGCAACUGUUAUUAAAGUAAUUAGUUCUGA